CUAGCCGAAAUGUCGCACAGUAAUAAGCAGUUAUAUCGAUAGAAGCUCGAUCGUCAAAAUAUAUCCAUCGACAGCGACAGCCUCUGCCUCUGAUCAACGUUAAUGUAACGUGUGUCCGGACAACCAAGACUAAUAUGUGUUAUCGGACUACAUGUGACUUCCAGUAGAUCUGAACUUGUGAAUAUAUAAGGAGGCGUGGCAAGAUGUCUAACCCCAGUGAUGAAAGCACCUACAGUCCUGAUAAAGAGCCAACCACCACCAGUACUGGCGAGACACACAAUAAGAAGGAGGUGUUCGGUCUGACAUUAGACAUCGGAUACAUUAAGAGUAUCCAUGGUAUGCUUAGAGCUGGAGAAAUAUUUUUAACGUUGGUAGCUUUUAUAUGUGUCUCGUCUUCAAGAAACGAAGCAUGUGAUUUCCUGCACGCAGCAACUUAUAAUUUCUUCGAGUUUACGUCUAUGACAGCCUUUCUUAGUACCCUCAUUAUCUACGUCAUCUU
Patella vulgata (common limpet) is the source of this 499-nucleotide long non-coding RNA. RefSeq lists it as uncharacterized. Lineage: Eukaryota; Metazoa; Mollusca; Gastropoda; Patellidae. The transcript has 3 exons. The record is from RefSeq and is a predicted model, not a curated record.